This 235-nucleotide ribosomal RNA is filed under the name uncultured Listeria sp. Its description in RNAcentral is "partial 16S ribosomal RNA". It matches the Rfam family "Bacterial small subunit ribosomal RNA", at positions 283 to 521 of the family's 1533-position model. The record is from RNAcentral. Lineage: Bacteria; Bacillati; Bacillota; Bacilli; Caryophanales; Listeriaceae.
AUUCCCGCCGCGCGCGGCGGGCGGGGCGGGGGCACGGGGGGACUCCUACGGGAGGCAGCAGUAGGGAAUCUUCCGCAAUGGACGAAGGUCUGACGGAGCAACGCCGCGUGUGUGAAGAAGGUUUUCGGAUCGUAAAGCACUGUUGUUAGAGAAGAACAAGGAUAAGAGUAACUGCUUGUCCCUUGACGGUAUCUAACCAGAAAGCCACGGCUAACUACGUGCCAGCAGCCGAAUC